This 896-nucleotide long non-coding RNA is filed under the name Olea europaea subsp. europaea. Lineage: Eukaryota; Viridiplantae; Streptophyta; Magnoliopsida; Lamiales; Oleaceae. The record is from RNAcentral.
GAAAAUUUAAGUUGCAAAGAGGAAAAACACAGGACAAUUGUUCAUCAAUUAAACACCCCAAACCCUUAUUUUCCCCUCAAUUUCGGAUUCCUCAUACCUUUCUUCCCAUUGUCGGCAAGCAAUUCCUCCAAACCAAAAAUCGACACAUCUAAAUACUAAAGAUCGUAGCUGGAAAAUCGCGAGCCCAGAAACUUCAAAAUAAAGAGACCCGUUAGUGGCUCCAAACCGAAAUUUCGUGGCUGAUUUUGCGCCUCAUACCAAGUGCACCCCCUGCUUUAAAAUUGCUGUGAACAUUGAAAGAAUUUUUAGGCCUGCGUAGGGAUAAGAAUUUUUAUCUCUUAGGAUUCUACAUGUUGUUGCCAUUGGAGUUUUUAUUUUCCAGUUGUGAGUAUUAUAUUUCAGUUGCUGGUUUGGACAAUGUAAGAAUAAUGUAGUUAGUGGGGAUGACAUAAGAUUUAUUUUCCUAUUGCAGGCACAAUAGAGUAUUUCAAUUGAUGUAGUGAAGAAAAUGUUAGGUGAUGGAACAUCCUAAUGUUGUUGCCAUUCUCAAUGCUUCCAAUUUCUUUGUGGGAAAAUCUUCGAAUCUUGUUAACGCUUGCAGCAUAAAGAUUUGUACUACAUGAUCAUUCAGAUUUCGGUGAUACUAGCAGCAUAUAGAAAUCAAUAAGGGCACUCAUUUGAUUGAAAUUGUGUUUCAUCAGUUAACUUCUCAAAGAGAGAUUCCCUGCAUAGGUGGAACUUAAUGAGAUUAUAAUAUGCUCUAGUUCUUGGUUCAAUUAGAAACAUAUAAUAUGCUGUAGUUUUGGCUCAAUUAGAAAAAUAUGAUAUGCUGUAUUUUUGGUUUAAUUAGAACAAUAUAAUAUGGAAUGUUAACAUCUUUCAAGUAGAUCAAUGGG